CGGCUCCCGCGGUGGCCGGAUGUGCGCCGCGGGAGCUCUCGUCGGUUGCCGUCUUCUGCAGCUCCUACUGCUUCAUGUCCUCUAUAAGCCGCUCUUCGUUUUCGUCUGUUGCUUAUCGCCUCACAGCCAACUCACUCCCACCCCGACAUGGGUCUGAGCCCCCGACGGCAGAGAUUCGUGUCUGUUUUUAACUCGUGAGUAAGAAACGUAAAUUGCCCAGAACCGUGCCUGGCGGGAGUUAACAACUGUACGUGUCGACUGUUACUAUUUUGUUCAGGCAGCAUCUGGGGCGCCUAAAACAGGCCUGGGACACAGUAGGAACUCAGUGUUUCUCGAAUGAAUGAAUGCAUGAAUGAGGUUCUUGCCAGAACCUUAUGACAAAGAAAGGAAACAGAUUUUCUGUGGUUAGUGAAGCUGUGUCAGUAAAUGCUUCUGAGUAGGGCACUGAGCUGGACGCUGGAGGUAGAGAUUCUUAGCAGAGAGAGGCUUUUAGGGCAACAGGGAAAAAAGGAGAGCUAAUUGUAUGUAUGUAUGUAUAACAUAAAUAGCAAAGAACCACAUGGCUAGCAGUGACAGAAAGUGCUAAUGUAAUCACUUUUGCCUCUCACCAGUAGGCACUCUGGGUUGUUUUAUUAUACUAAUUUUUACCUAGCAUCCAAUUUCAGCAUCACAAACAUCAGUGGCCAAAUGACUUGAGGUUAUAUUGGAUUUUUCAGGGAAUACAGAGCUAAAAAACACAGCACUCUGUUCCCUGGAAAUAAUGCAGGUAGAAAUUAAAAUGUGAAAUGAAAAGGAAAAUGGAGUGUUUGUGAUCUCAUUGAGAAUGUUUUAGCUCACAUGCUUCACUCUUAGGUUGUUUUUGUUUCCUGGGAAUUUUUGCUGGUUGGUUGUUUCGAGUUUUGUAGGAGUCGUUGGGGCUUACUUGGAUAUCAGAUCUGGGAUAUUUGCUAUUGGACUUGGAAUGAGACCAAUGGGGUUAACAGUUUUCUGUUUUCUGACAUUUUAGCUACUCCAUUUUCAUGUUCUUCACAUUUUUAGUGUUACUAGCAAAAGAUGGAAUUCAACAUACUUAGAGUCCUUAAUCACUUAACACAUCUUUUGGGGAAGGUACAAAACAUUAAUUAUACAGGAUUAUUGCUAGGACAUAACCUUUUCUAUUAACAGAAAUCCAGUCACUCUGAGGCAUCCACUGAAUAACUUGAGGGUUUAAAAGAUGUAUGUACCAACUAAAUUGUACAUAUUCAAAUAAGGAAGUAUAAUUUAGCCGAAUAAUCAGUCAUUAAUAUCAUUUAAAAUUUACAUCUCCAAAAAUGUAUAUAUUUGGGGGCCUGGAUAGCAACGUGUUUUACUUUCUAACUCUGUAUGGGUAAAACCUCCCCUAGAAGAUGGCUUUUGGGGCAGAAGACAUAAUCCUUGUUGGUGCCCCUUGUAGUCUUGUUUAUUUGGUGUGUCUAAGUCUGACUGUACAUGCAUAUCUAUCUCAUAUGGAGCACCUUUGUGGAUUUUCUUUUUAAAUUCAUUUGUUGCCUUUCAGUUUUACGGUGACAAAACUUUGCAUGUGUAACUAUUUUUUAAAAAUUCUAUUUCCGGGGCACCUGGGUGGCUCAGUCGGUUAAGC
Molecule: long non-coding RNA, 1618 nt
Filed under: Lynx canadensis (Canada lynx)
Lineage: Eukaryota; Metazoa; Chordata; Mammalia; Carnivora; Felidae
Description: lncRNA (ENSLCNG00005002586.1)
Source: RNAcentral